Culex quinquefasciatus (southern house mosquito) is the source of this 1314-nucleotide RNA transcript. RefSeq lists it as uncharacterized. The record is from RefSeq and is a predicted model, not a curated record. The transcript is spliced from 2 exons. Lineage: Eukaryota; Metazoa; Arthropoda; Insecta; Diptera; Culicidae.
UUGGGGAGAGAAGCUUUUCCGGCUGGCGCGUCGGUGUGUUGCAUCUUUCCCCUCGUCGCGUGGCAUGUGUACAAGCCACGUGGUGUGUGGAUGCUUGCUGUUGCUGUUGCACUUGCUAUUUUCCCGAAAGAUGCCGACGCCACACGACGAUACAGCAAACGAAGUGCAACCCCAGCAGUGAAGACACAACAAAAUAAGUAGCAACACAGCAGCAGCAGCAGAAAAUGGGGGCAAUAUUAUGAAACACACGAUGAAUGGAGCUGAGUUGAGCGAGCUUGUAUACAAGAAGACGAUGAGAGAGCAUCUCCAACUUCUCUGUGUGGGGCCAACACACAACAUGACGACGGGAGGAAAAUCCAACUCAUUUUGUGUUUAUGUAGGAUACUUUUCACGACUUGAUACUUUUGCUCAGUAGUAGUACCUUGGUUCUGGUCGCUGGACCACCGUCGUCGCCGCCGCGUUGCCGUUGUUGUUCCGGGUUGCCCGUAGUACGUUUUAGAUCCGGUCCGCGUCACGUAAUCGUGCACCAUUACACACAUAUCGUCAAGAGUACCUCAACAACCUUCACGCAUAGCACGCAACAUCGAUUGGCACCGGCUAAUCAAUCUCUAGUCAAUCAUCUUGGAACGCACAAUGGACACCGACCGACCGCCCAGUAUCAAGAGCGAGGAAGCCAGCAACGACGAUGCACCGGAAGUGGAACCUGCAAGUCACGGUAAUUGAGUCUGAGCAGCUCUUCAUCAAAACAGUCUCGAACCCCGUAGAAUCGAUCCCCCAACCCCCUUUAAAUGCCCUCGGAGGUCAUCGGAGAAAGUGCCGGCGUCGCUGCCAAAAACCAAAAAAGAUCCGAUAAUGAGGCUAUAAUUCAUCAUUUGAACCUCAUAUCGGAACGGGGCCACGUGCGACAAACGAUUUGACCGACGCCGACGACGAAGCCGACAGGUAAGUUUUUGUUUCACCGCUAUCGGCGACGGCGUUGGACAAAAAACGGCCACCUUUUCCGGGGUGGUGGGUAUCGGAAAACGUCCCCAACUCGGUUGGUGAUAAAUGGUCUGCAAUGUGUCAACGUGAGUGAUUGAGGCGACGGUUCCGAAAUGGGGCAAAAGUUUACUUGAGGAUGAAAUAAGAGGUAAGCGACGGGGUCGACCGAUCGACGGUUCCGGGUUCGAAAUGUUUUGAUGAAUGGUGCGGCGAUGUCGGUGUUUACGGUAAUAAAAUUUCAAAAAUAACAAUUGCUUGCAUUUGAGGAAAAGGGUAUAUUAUAAUACUAAUGUUUAAUCGACAGCUUUGAAACCGAUUCCGUAUCCCAAAUAA